UGCCAGCAGCCGCGGUAACACGGGGGGCGCAAGCGUUAUUCGGAAUUAUUGGGCGUAAAGGGCGCGCAGGCGGUCUUGUCCGUCAGGUGUGAAAGCUCGGGGCUCAACCCCGGAAGUGCACUUGAAACAGCAAGACUUGAAUACGGUAGAGGAGAGAGGAAUUCCUGGUGUAGAGGUGAAAUUCGUAGAUAUCAGGAGGAACACCGAUGGCGAAGGCGGCUUUCUGGACCAAUACUGACGCUGAGGUGCGAAAGCGUGGGGAGCAAACAGGAUUAGAUA
This 279-nucleotide ribosomal RNA is filed under the name uncultured bacterium. Its description in RNAcentral is "partial 16S ribosomal RNA". It matches the Rfam family "Bacterial small subunit ribosomal RNA", at positions 506 to 784 of the family's 1533-position model. The record is from RNAcentral.